Dipodomys ordii (Ord's kangaroo rat) is the source of this 65-nucleotide non-coding RNA. The record is from Rfam. NCBI's taxonomy places the organism in Eukaryota, Metazoa, Chordata, Mammalia, Rodentia, Heteromyidae.
UGGGAAAUGACUCAGUGGUAGAGUGCUUGCCUUGUAUGCAAGAGGUCCUAGGUUUGAUUCCUCAG